RNAcentral lists this ribosomal RNA (718 nucleotides) under uncultured bacterium. RNAcentral describes it as "bacterial SSU rRNA". It matches the Rfam family "Bacterial small subunit ribosomal RNA", at positions 231 to 948 of the family's 1533-position model. The record is from RNAcentral.
AUGCGUGACAUUAGCUUGUUGGUGAGGUAACGGCUCACCAAGGCGACGAUGUCUAGGGGUUCUGAGAGGAUUCUCCCCCACACUGGUACUGAGACACGGACCAGACUCCUACGGGAGGCAGCAGUAAGGAAUAUUGGGCAAUGGGCGCAAGUCUGACCCAGCCAUGCCGCGUGAAGGAUGACGGCCCUACGGGUUGUAAACUUCUUUUGUACGGGAAAAAACCCCCGGUCGUGCACCGGGGUUGAUGGUACUGUAAGAAUAAGCAUCGGCUAACUCCGUGCCAGCAGCCGCGGUAAUACGGAGGAUGCAAGCGUUAUCCGGAUUCAUUGGGUUUAAAGGGUGCGCAGGCGGAUUGGUAAGUCAGUGGUGAAAUCCUACGGCUCAACUGUAGAACUGCCAUUGAUACUACCAAUCUUGAGUACACUUGAAGUGGGCGGAAUGUGUCAUGUAGCGGUGAAAUGCUUAGAUAUGACACAGAACACCGAUCGCGAAGGCAGCUCACUAAAUUGUAACUGACGCUCAGGCACGAAAGCGUGGGGAUCAAACAGGAUUAGAUACCCUGGUAGUCCACGCUGUAAACGAUGAUCACUCGAUGUUGGCGAUACACUGUCAGCGUCUAAGCGAAAGCAUUAAGUGAUCCACCUGGGGAGUACGGCCGCAAGGUUGAAACUCAAAGGAAUUGACGGGGGCCCGCACAAGCGGAGGAGCAUGUGGUUUA